UACGGGGGGGGCAAGCGUUGUUCGGAAUUACUGGGCGUAAAGGGCUCGUAGGCGGCCAACUAAGUCGGGUGUGAAAUCCCCAGGCUUAACCUGGGAACUGCAUCCGAUACUGGAUGGCUUGAAUCCGGGAGAGGGAUGCGGAAUUCCAGGUGUAGCGGUGAAAUGCGUAGAUAUCUGGAGGAACACCGGUGGCGAAGGCGGCAUCCUGGACCGAUACUGACGCUGAGGAGCGAAAGCCAGGGGAGCAAACGGG
This 253-nucleotide ribosomal RNA is filed under the name uncultured bacterium. RNAcentral's name for it is "partial 16S ribosomal RNA". It matches the Rfam family "Bacterial small subunit ribosomal RNA", at positions 524 to 776 of the family's 1533-position model. The record is from RNAcentral.